RNAcentral lists this ribosomal RNA (480 nucleotides) under Streptococcus intermedius. Its description in RNAcentral is "bacterial SSU rRNA". It matches the Rfam family "Bacterial small subunit ribosomal RNA", at positions 28 to 484 of the family's 1533-position model. The record is from RNAcentral. Lineage: Bacteria; Bacillati; Bacillota; Bacilli; Lactobacillales; Streptococcaceae.
GACGAACGCUGGCGGCGUGCCUAAUACAUGCAAGUAGAACGCACAGGAUGCACCGUAGUUUACUACACCGUAUUCCGUGAGUUGCGAACGGGUGAGUAACGCGUAGGUAACCUGCCUGGUAGCGGGGGAUAACUAUUGGAAACGAUAGCUAAUACCGCAUAAGAACAUUUACUGCAUGGUAGAUGUUUAAAAGGUGCAAAUGCAUCACUACCAGAUGGACCUGCGUUGUAUUAGCUAGUAGGUGAGGUAACGGCUCACCUAGGCGACGAUACAUAGCCGACCUGAGAGGGUGAUCGGCCACACUGGGACUGAGACACGGCCCAGACUCCUACGGGAGGCAGCAGUAGGGAAUCUUCGGCAAUGGGGGGAACCCUGACCGAGCAACGCCGCGUGAGUGAAGAAGGUUUUCGGAUCGUAAAGCUCUGUUGUUAAGGAAGAACGAGUGUGAGAAUGGAAAGUUCAUACUGUGACGGACUAACC